CAUUCUACCGCAUGGUGGUUGUGGAAGUUUUUCGGCUGGGGAUGGGCUCGCGGCCUAUCAGCUUGGUUGGUGGGGUGAUGGCCUACCAAGGCGACGACGGGUAGCCGGCCUGAGAGGGCGACCGGCCACACUGGGACUGAGACACGGCCCAGACUCCUACGGGAGGCAGCAGUGGGGAAUAUUGCGCAAUGGGCGAAAGCCUGACGCAGCAACGCCGCGUGAGGGAUGAAGGCCUUCGGGUUGUAAACCUCUUUCAGCAGGGAAGAAGCGAAAGUGACGGUACCUGCAGAAGAAGCACCGGCUAACUACGUGCCAGCAGCCGCGGUAAUACGUAGGGUGCAAGCGUUGUCCGGAAUUAUUGGGCGUAAAGAGCUCGUAGGCGGUUUGUCGCGUCUGCUGUGAAAACCUGGGGCUUAACUCCGGGCCUGCAGUGGGUACGGGCAGACUAGAGUGCGGUAGGGGAGACUGGAAUUCCUGGUGUAGCGGUGAAAUGCGCAGAUAUCAGGAGGAACACCGAUGGC
Molecule: ribosomal RNA, 521 nt
Filed under: uncultured bacterium
Lineage: Bacteria
Description: bacterial SSU rRNA
Rfam family: Bacterial small subunit ribosomal RNA
Source: RNAcentral